This 393-nucleotide ribosomal RNA is filed under the name Shigella flexneri. RNAcentral's name for it is "bacterial SSU rRNA". It matches the Rfam family "Bacterial small subunit ribosomal RNA", at positions 907 to 1300 of the family's 1533-position model. The record is from RNAcentral. Lineage: Bacteria; Pseudomonadati; Pseudomonadota; Gammaproteobacteria; Enterobacterales; Enterobacteriaceae.
GAAUUGACGGGGGCCCGCACAAGCGGUGGAGCAUGUGGUUUAAUUCGAUGCAACGCGAAGAACCUUACCUGGUCUUGACAUCCACGGAAGUUUUCAGAGAUGAGAAUGUGCCUUCGGGAACCGUGAGACAGGUGCUGCAUGGCUGUCGUCAGCUCGUGUUGUGAAAUGUUGGGUUAAGUCCCGCAACGAGCGCAACCCUUAUCCUUUGUUGCCAGCGGUCCGGCCGGGAACUCAAAGGAGACUGCCAGUGAUAAACUGGAGGAAGGUGGGGAUGACGUCAAGUCAUCAUGGCCCUUACGACCAGGGCUACACACGUGCUACAAUGGCGCAUACAAAGAGAAGCGACCUCGCGAGAGCAAGCGGACCUCAUAAAGUGCGUCGUAGUCCGGAUUG